Molecule: long non-coding RNA, 679 nt
Filed under: Mus musculus (house mouse)
Lineage: Eukaryota; Metazoa; Chordata; Mammalia; Rodentia; Muridae
Description: long non-coding RNA chr11:94717707-94718386
Source: RNAcentral
GUUCAAAUCAUGUUCAAAUAACUUAAGAAUCUUUGAGACAAGGGCUUACAAUGUAGCAGAGGCUGGGCUCAAACUUGGAACCCUCUUGAGUCACCCUCCCAAGCACUGGGACUAAGGUAUGUGCACAGUUCCCUACUCAAAAUAGUGCUUUUUUUUUUUUUUUUUUUUUUUGACACAGAGUCACUAUGUAGUCCAGGCUAGCCUCAAACUCUUGAUCCUCCUGCCCCAGCCUCCAGAGUACUGGAAUUAUAGGCCUGUACUGUAUACCAUAUACUUUCUUAUUUCUUUCAUAUUACACUUCUAGUUAAUGCAUGCAUAUAUGUGUGUGUGGGUGUGUAUGUGUGUGGGGUGUGUGUGUGUAUGUAUAUAUACACACACAUACAUAUAAAAUAAGCCUCAAUCAGCACUGGAGCUAAGCAGAUAUCUACCCUCUAUGCUAUUAUGGCUACUUCCCCUGGGGGACACAGUUACUUAGAAUCUCCUGGUCUCUAGGGGCAACCAGGGCGCCAGUACUUAGCAUUAGGACUCAUAGCAACAAACUGAAACACCAACCAACAAUCUGGAACAUGCCCGCAGACGCGCCCACAGGCCAGUGGAUAGAAGCCAUUCCACAGUUGAAGUUCCCUCUUUCCAGAGUACUCUAGUUUGUGACAACACAGCCUGUGCCAACGGCCCUGUA